GGAAAUGUGGCUCAGUGGUAGAGUGCUUGCCUGAUAUGCAAGAAGCUCUGAGUCUCUUUCUUCAGUACCA
Molecule: transfer RNA, 70 nt
Filed under: Dipodomys ordii (Ord's kangaroo rat)
Lineage: Eukaryota; Metazoa; Chordata; Mammalia; Rodentia; Heteromyidae
Rfam family: tRNA
About the family: Transfer RNA (tRNA) molecules are approximately 80 nucleotides in length.
Source: Rfam by way of RNAcentral